CAGCAGCCGCGGUAAUGCGAAGGGUGCAAGCGUUAAUCGGAAUUACUGGGCGUAAAGCGUGCGUAGGCGGUGAGUUAAGUCUGCUGUGAAAUCCCCGGGCUCAACCUGGGAAUGGCAGUGGAUACUGGCUCGCUAGAGUGUGUCAGAGGAUGGUGGAAUUCCCGGUGUAGCGGUGAAAUGCGUAGAGAUCGGGAGGAACAUCAGUGGCGAAGGCGGCCAUCUGGGACAACACUGACGCUGAGGCACGAAAGCGUGGGGAGCAAACAGGAUUAGAUACCCCAGUAGUCCCUGUCUCUUAUAC
This 301-nucleotide ribosomal RNA is filed under the name uncultured bacterium. Its description in RNAcentral is "partial 16S ribosomal RNA". It matches the Rfam family "Bacterial small subunit ribosomal RNA", at positions 509 to 807 of the family's 1533-position model. The record is from RNAcentral.